AACACGUCUACCCCAACGGUUAUCGGUUC
This 29-nucleotide small RNA is filed under the name Bombyx mori (domestic silkworm). Its description in RNAcentral is "ovarian small RNA-359". The record is from RNAcentral. Lineage: Eukaryota; Metazoa; Arthropoda; Insecta; Lepidoptera; Bombycidae.